UAACAGUAGAACAUGACAUUCUUGACGCUGUCCUUGAGUGCAGGAAGGGGCCUGACGGCUCCACCACCUGCAGCACGAGUGCUGCGCGAUGUAGACGAACCUCCUCCACGACCACUCGCCAUUGAACCACUGUCCGAGCUAUCUGACUCCAUGUAGAAACGGGCUCUGAACGCCGCCAGAUGAGCAUAGUAUGCUGGUGGAACUGCAACAGCAAAAUUGGUUAAAAACUUACGUGUAACAGAGGUUGUUGGUGAGGGUCUGCAACGCAUCAGCUGUGAAGUUGUUUUCAUCCCACAGGACGUGGUAAUGAGCGGGACGGCUUGUGCCCUACGGAGAGAUGGGACAUGGCUGCACAAGAAGAAGUCAAACUCCGUAGGAUGGCAAAUCUUGGAAACAAUACUCACCAGGCAAUAUGUUCCCACUCCUGUCGACUGAAUUCUGAUCAUUGUGGUUGUGUGCAAAUAAUCUCGUGUGGUGGCGCUUCUGAACCACAAUGAAAGUCACCUGCGGUUGGUAAUUUGCUUCGAGGGAAAGUUUUACCUUUCGGAUUGCAUCAAGCUCAUGCAAUAGAACCUGGUAAAAUUGCCCUUCACUAACACCAUCCCUGUGAA
Molecule: small RNA, 611 nt
Filed under: Oryza sativa Japonica Group (Japanese rice)
Lineage: Eukaryota; Viridiplantae; Streptophyta; Magnoliopsida; Poales; Poaceae
Description: sRNA Os06g0729350
Source: RNAcentral